Lathyrus oleraceus (garden pea) is the source of this 3342-nucleotide long non-coding RNA. RefSeq lists it as uncharacterized. The transcript is spliced from 4 exons. The record is from RefSeq and is a predicted model, not a curated record. Lineage: Eukaryota; Viridiplantae; Streptophyta; Magnoliopsida; Fabales; Fabaceae.
UGAAAAGCGAUUAUGCAAAAAAACAAAAAACAAAUCAUGAACGAAACCAAAAACUGGAAAAAGUGAUUAUGCGAGCACCAAACACCAAGUUGACAAACGCUUAUGCGACGAAUCCAAGCAAGCUUCACGAUGACAUUUCGACGCUCUCACGGCCGUGCAACUCGAAGCUCCAACGAUCAACAUCGUAGAUUCGCCUCACACCGUGCUCAAAAUCAUUGUGUUCCCCUCUCAGCUCAUACUUCGCAUUGUUCUAUCAUCCUCAUUCAAGUCUCAAUUCUAUUCUCUUCGCUAUCAUGUGCGCAAAAGCUAAACAACAAUGUCGAAAGCUAAUCGAGAAAACUCAACGGGUUCUUGUUAUCGGUUUCAAGCCUUCGACAAAAUUGACUCGAAAUAGAGAACCUUCAACCGACACAACAAAUCGAAAGCCAAGAGCCUUUAAUCCGUGUCAAUGAAAUCGGAAUGAGGCUAGCAAUUCGCGUCGAGUAAGGACGUGAAAUCGUGACGCCACACAAGCGAGUUAUGAUAAGUUGAAGCAAUUUACGGGUUCGGCUCUGACGCGGUGGUUCAACAGGAAGGUUCGUCUUCUAGUGUGCGAAUCCAGUUUUUGGUUUCGUCAUUGAUUCUUCUUCACCAUUGCGAAUCCAAAUGGGGCGCGAACGUAUUCAGGAAGUUCGCGCCGAUAGCUUAAACGAGAAAGAAGAGAUUCUCACCGAAUCGUAAUGGCAAGAUGCUCCAAUGCGGCGACUCCAUGGCGAUUGUACGGAUUGAAAUAAUUUCGGUUUGCGGCAUCGAGGCAAUUGGUUGCAGAGUGGAGGUUAUGCAGAAUCCAUUAUUUGCAGAAUGAAGCUUGUAGAAUAGAAAAGAAGAGAGUGAUUGAAGAAGAUGGAAAUUGAAGAAGGUGAAGAAUGAUUCCAAAAAACCGGAGAAGUUUCUGAUGGCACUGUUAUAUAGGAUAGUUUACAACAGAAUCGGGCAGGGUGAAUGUUGGUCAACAGUCCACUUUGUUACAAGAUAAACUGAAAUUUCCCACCCUGAAAUUUCCCACCCGACUCCAAAGUCACUUGUUUAGGAUUGCUUUGGGCUGCCCAUUGAAGUAUAGCAUGGUACCAUAUCGGCUUCUGGUUCUAAACUUGACAAGCCUGUUCGUUAUCCCAAGCCUUGAGUGCCACAAUACGGUCAUUGUGCUUUUCCCGCUCAGCUCAAGUGAUCAUGUGUGCCCAUGCUUCUAGGAGGCUCCUAAGCUCAAUGAAAUGGCUAGAUGAAGAUGAGAACAAGCAUGACAAUGGUCCACAAAGUUCCUAAUAAUCAUAUAUGUCUCCCAAGUAUCUCAAUUUGCCAACUUGAUCAAGAUAACCCAAAGAGCUUGAGGAUUGUUUCCCAAGGAAACCCUAAUUCAAUUGUGCUUUGACUGUGCCUUGCUCAUGAAGCAACCUCAACCUAUGAUCAAAUUCAAUCAAGGGAAGUUAAUUCAUUCAUUAUUUUAUGCAUAUAUGAGCCUAUGUUAGUAUCCUCAAUCAUUCAUUCAUCAAAGAUUUGAAGUUUGACCUUGAGAAGUUGACUAGUCAAGUCAUCUGACUAAACUGAGGAUCACUGAGACACAACUUUUGAUGUGUUUGUUAAAUGAAGAUAACCCCAAGAGAAACAAUGUUCUUAAGAACCAUAUUAACAACGUUCAUGUUCAUAAAAAAUCCAUUUGAAAUUGGGAAGGUCAUCAUUAAUUUCAAAACAUUAUAGGUCAUUUUGACUAAAACCCUAAUUUUGGGUCAACUUCCCAAGGACCUAACUUCCUUAUUUUUUUUAUGUUUUUAAGGUGAGACCAAUUGCAUUGGAAAUUUUAAGAUGUCUAAUUCAAAUGAUAUGCAGGACAAAAUUUCAUAAUUCUAAAAGAAACACAUGUGAUAAUACAAAACAUUAUAUGUCACUUUGGAACAAAACCAUUGAAUUUGAAAAAUGUCCAACUUCAAGUGCCCAUAACUUUCUCAUUGAAAAUCCAAAUGAUGCAAACUUUAACUCCAAAUUGAUCAUAUUGAAAAGAUAUACAACUUUUAUGUUGAAGGUUUUUCCAGUUGAGGAUUUCAUCAUUGAAACAGAAGAGCUUGAAGUUGCUCACUUUUGGCAAAAAAUUUCAAAGGGAACCUAGACAUGUUUUGUACCUCAAACUUCAAAGCUAGUUUUCAUAAUUUUCCAAACUCCAAAUGGAUUUUUGCCCAAAAUAGUUUUUGUUCCUUAUGUCAAGAGCUUUCCAACAAUUACUCACAUGACCAUGUUUGGAUUUUCCACGUGUGAUUUUCGAAGGGCUUAAUGUUUAUGAUCAAUUAUGCAGUUCAUAUUUGAACUUCAUAUGCAAGCAAAUGCCAGGCCUUGUGCACGUCCAAUUCACUCCAAAAUGAUCUCAGCUUGCAAUUCCGUUCACUUUUGGUCCUCACAUGCGCCUGUACAGGCCCAUGCAUGAAGGACCCAAAGUUCAUGCACACAAGCAUUACACCUCCUUGCAUCAAGCUCAGCUAUAAAUACAUGUGCUUGCUCAUUCAAAAACAAACCUCAAGGUGAUUUGAAACCCUACUGAAUUGGAAACCCAACCUCACUCAAAGGAAUUUCAGUUUUCAUUUCUCAAUUUCAAGCUUGAAUUUCAACAUCCUUAGUUGAUCUUCAAGUCUUAAUUCCUUAGCCUUGCAUCAUCAUCACAUCUCCAGAUCAAAUUGGACUCAAAAGCUUGAAGAGACCGUGAUGUUCAAAGCUGCAUUUUAGAGGUAUAUCACUCAACUGUUUUGAUCUGAAUCUUGCUAUACAAUGUGGUGGUCUGAAGUCCUCGAGCAAGAGGCAGGCCAGUGGUGGUCUUAAUUUCAUGAAUCGUACCAUUUCAGUUUGUGCACCUUGAUUUUCAAGCUCAAAUUUCUCAUUAAAUAGAAACAUUGAGGAAGAUCCAAGUUUACAGGGGUGAUGUACAUCACCCCAACUUCAUUUUGGUACCUGGCUUGUUUAUUUUGGUUAAGGUUGAAAACCCUGCGCGUGGUGGCCGAAGUUUGUUCUCUGGCCGGAGAAGAUGGUGGUUUCCACCACCAUCCCCACGUGGGAGCAUCUGAGCCUUUGGAUCUCAUUUAAAUGUUGUAAUCGUGUCCAUUACUUUGGCUGACUUGUUUUAAAUACAUUUGUUGCGCGCUUGACUUUGGAGCAUGGUGCAUCAGUGCUUCUGGACUGCUUGAUAACGCCACGUCAUUUAAUGAACUCAUCCAAGCGCUCCUGAUUUUUUAUAUUUUCUUAUUUUUGUUUUAAUUUCUUUUAAUUCCUUUUAUUUUCAAAAAUUCAUAAAUAUUUUAUUUGAAGUCACAAAAAUAUGAGACC